RNAcentral lists this ribosomal RNA (484 nucleotides) under uncultured Lactobacillus sp. RNAcentral's name for it is "bacterial SSU rRNA". It matches the Rfam family "Bacterial small subunit ribosomal RNA", at positions 66 to 525 of the family's 1533-position model. Lineage: Bacteria; Bacillati; Bacillota; Bacilli; Lactobacillales; Lactobacillaceae. The record is from RNAcentral.
GCUUGCACUCUGUGAAACAAGAUACAGGCUAGCGGCGGACGGGUGAGUAACACGUGGGUAACCUGCCCAAGAGAUCGGGAUAACACCUGGAAACAGAUGCUAAUACCGGAUAACAACAGAUGAUGCCUAUCAACUGUUUAAAAGAUGGUUCUGCUAUCACUCUUGGGAUGGACCUGCGGUGCAUUAGCUAGUUGGGUAGGGGUAACGGGCCUACCAAGGCGAUGAUGCAUAGCCGAGUUGAGAGACUGAUCGGCCACAUUGGGACUGAGACACGGCCCAAACUCCUACGGGAGGCAGCAGUAGGGGAAUCUUCCACAAUGGACGCAAGUCUGAUGGAGCAAACGCCGCGUGAGUGAAGAAGGGUUUCGGCUCGUAAAGCUCUGUUGUUGGUGAAGAAGGACAGGGGGUAGUAACUGACCUUUGUUUGACGGUAAUCAAUUAGAAAAGUCACGGGCUAACUACGUGCCCAGCAGCCGCGGGUAAA